GUGUUUGGAGGAAGGGGCAGAGGAUUUUAUAGUGAAACCUGUUAAAUGAUCGGACGUGAAACGUUUGAAAGAUAAGUCUUCGAUGAUGAUGAUGUUCAUGUUCUUGUAAAGGUAAUAAGCAAAUUCGUAUUUUUUUGGCUUCCAUUUUCAUGCACAUCAAGUGUUUGACUAAAUGUGUCAAUGGGUUUGUUUUGUUUGUGUUGAUAGUCACUGCAGUGGAUGGUGGAAGGAGAGCUCUGCAAUUUCUAGUUUUGGAUGAUGAGGAAAAGAGCUAUGUUGGGUUUGAUGUGUUGAAGAAUGUGGAAUGGCCAGAACAAUUUCCAUUCAAGGAAGUGGAUUUUCAACGCGCUGAUGAAGAACUGCAUCUUCAGGCAACUUUGGAUCAUUUGACAGCAAUUCCAUGUCUCUCAAGUUAGUUAAUUCAGUUAGUUUAGUGGAUAUGGCCUCAGAAUCUGAGCAAUCUGGGACCAACCAAGAUAAACAGUGGAUCGGAUUCCUGUAAAUUCAGAAUUAUGGCAUCUAUCAUUAUAUAGGGACUAUUUAUUAUGGAGGAGGACUGAAAUGAAGCCUUUGCAGCUAUGUUUGAAGGAAUUUCGGCCUUCAAAGAACCCUAACCCUAGCCGAGAGAGAGACUCUCGGAAAGUUAUAAUUGGUAAAAGCUCCCCAGUAGGAUACCAUGUUAUUUCAAGGUUCAAACACCUAGCACUACCAUAUUCAAAUAGUUUUUGGACAUGGAAAAACGAAUUCAAGAAUUUGCAAGAAUGUCUGGAAGAGCUUCAUCACUCGAAGAACCCCAUCCGAGUAGGGAGAGCUAUUGGAACAUACUCUCAGGAGGAACAACUCAAUUGCUUUGUAAGUUAUUUAAGGCUAAGUAUUCUAUUAUUUUGAAAAAGGAUAAAUUAUAAAUACACCAUUAAAGUUUGCUUAAAAUAUAAAUUAGCUCCUUAUAAUUCUACAAAUUACAUUCCAUCUUUUCAAGUUUCUAAUCACAU
This is a long non-coding RNA of Camellia sinensis, 992 nucleotides long. RefSeq lists it as uncharacterized. The record is from RefSeq and is a predicted model, not a curated record. Lineage: Eukaryota; Viridiplantae; Streptophyta; Magnoliopsida; Ericales; Theaceae.